UGGGUCGUCGCCAAGCGGUAAGGCACGGGGUUUUGAUCCCCGCAUACCAAGGUUCGAAUCCUUGCGACCCAGCCA
Molecule: transfer RNA, 75 nt
Filed under: Methylocucumis oryzae
Lineage: Bacteria; Pseudomonadati; Pseudomonadota; Gammaproteobacteria; Methylococcales; Methylococcaceae
Also listed under: 6 other names
Description: tRNA-Gln
Rfam family: tRNA
About the family: Transfer RNA (tRNA) molecules are approximately 80 nucleotides in length.
Source: RNAcentral